GUCCGAAUUGUAAUUUGAAGAGGAUGUCUCGCGAAAGGUAUCGCUCCAAGUCCUUUGGAACAAGGCGCCGCAGAGGGUGAGAGCCCCGUCCGGGCAGAUACUUGCCGCAUGUGAGACUCCUUCGACGAGUCGAGUUGUUUGGGAAUGCAGCUCUAAUUUGGAGGUAAAUUUCUUCUAAGGCUAAAUAUCGGCCGGAGACCGAUAGCGCACAAGUAGAGUGAUCGAAAGAUGAAAAGCACUUUGAAAAGAGAGUCAAAAAGCACGUGAAAUUGUUGAAAGGGAAGCGCUUGCCGUCAGACUCGUUUAUGGUCGAUCAGCCUUCGUUUUCGUUGGCGCACUCUUCCAUAGUCGGGCCAGCGUCGAUUCGAACGACUGGAGAAUGGCGUUAGGAAUGUAGCUCCUCGGAGUGUUAUAGCCUAUCGCAGCAUGCAGCCAGUUUGGAUCGAGGUAUGCGU
Molecule: ribosomal RNA, 455 nt
Filed under: Megalotremis verrucosa
Lineage: Eukaryota; Fungi; Ascomycota; Dothideomycetes; Monoblastiales; Monoblastiaceae
Description: eukaryotic LSU rRNA
Rfam family: Eukaryotic large subunit ribosomal RNA
Source: RNAcentral